Molecule: ribosomal RNA, 660 nt
Filed under: Triticum aestivum (bread wheat)
Lineage: Eukaryota; Viridiplantae; Streptophyta; Magnoliopsida; Poales; Poaceae
Description: partial small subunit ribosomal RNA
Source: RNAcentral
AUGAAGAGAUGCAUUGCUGCCGUUCUGCUGGUGCUUUCACUCGAGGCCCUCGCCGCCGGGCGCCUCUCGGCUACCGUCGCCGACGACCAUGUGGACACCAUUCGUCUCCCGAGCAACGGUCUUGCCGAUGAAGUAGCGACGGCGGCUACGGAGAUCGGCGCCGAGAAGACGAGGCCGUGGAAGUGCUGCGACCGCCCGUUGUGCAGCAGGUCCAUCCCGCCGCGGUGCCGCUGCAUGGACGCGGUGGAGCAGUGCGACGAGGCCUGCACCCGCUGCGAAGCGUCCCAGUCCGACCCUUCCAAGCGCAUCUGCAACGACCGGUACCACGGCUGGCCCGGGCCCAGCUGCACCAACCCCGACGCCGACGACAUCCCAAGUGGUCCGGGAGUUUCUGGUCCGCCGGUCGCGGUGGCAGCGGAGGAAGAAGAAGUUGUUAGCGAGGAGAGCGCCGUCGUCGGCAAGGAGAAGCCGAGGCCAUGGAAGUGCUGCGACGACACCCUGUGCACCAGGUCUGCCCCGCCGACCUGCGCCUGCAACGACAAGGUGAAGAAGUGCGCCAAGACCUGUAAGAAGUGCGAGAAGGACGAGUCGGACGCUUCCCGCUUCGUGUGCCGCGACCGCUACUUCGGCUGGCCCGGGCCCAAGUGCACCGAGAUCUAG